RNAcentral lists this non-coding RNA (46 nucleotides) under Schistosoma mattheei. Lineage: Eukaryota; Metazoa; Platyhelminthes; Trematoda; Strigeidida; Schistosomatidae. The record is from RNAcentral.
GCACUUCUGAGGAGUCCAAUACUAGGGCGAAACGGUCGUCCUGUGC